GAGUUUGAUCCUGGCUCAGAACGAACGCUGGCGGCAGGCCUAACACAUGCAAGUCGAGCGAGGUAGCAAUACCUAGCGGCGGACGGGUGAGUAACGCGUGGGAACGUGCCCUUUGCUACGGAAUAGCCCCGGGAAACUGGGAGUAAUACCGUAUGUGCCCUUAGGGGGAAAGAUUUAUCGGCAAAGGAUCGGCCCGCGUUGGAUUAGGUAGUUGGUGGGGUAAUGGCCUACCAAGCCGACGAUCCAUAGCUGGUUUGAGAGGAUGAUCAGCCACACUGGGACUGAGACACGGCCCAGACUCCUACGGGAGGCAGCAGUGGGGAAUCUUAGACAAUGGGCGCAAGCCUGAUCUAGCCAUGCCGCGUGAGCGAUGAAGGCCUUAGGGUUGUAAAGCUCUUUCGUGGGGGAAGAUAAUGACUGUACCCCAAGAAGAAGCCCCGGCUAACUCCGUGCCAGCAGCCGCGGUAAUACGGAGGGGGCUAGCGUUGUUCGGAAUUACUGGGCGUAAAGCGCACGUAGGCGGACCAGAAAGUCAGGGGUGAAAUCCCGGGGCUCAACCCCGGAACUGCCUUUGAAACUCCUGGUCUUGAGGUCGAGAGAGGUGAGUGGAAUUCCGAGUGUAGAGGUGAAAUUCGUANAUAUUCGGAGGAAACACCANUGGCGAAGGNGGCUCACUGGGCUCGAUACUGGACGCUGANGUGCGAAAAGCGUGGGGGGAGCCAAACAGGGAUUAGAUUACCCUGNUAGUCCC
This 751-nucleotide ribosomal RNA is filed under the name uncultured bacterium. RNAcentral describes it as "bacterial SSU rRNA". It matches the Rfam family "Bacterial small subunit ribosomal RNA", at positions 9 to 797 of the family's 1533-position model. The record is from RNAcentral.